UACGUAGGGACCAAGCGUUGUCCGGAAUCAUUGGGCGUAAAGCGCGCGUAGGCGGCCCGGUAAGUCCGUUGUAAAAGUCGAAGGCUCAACCUUCGAAAGCCGAUGGAUACUGCCGGGCUAGAGUACGGAAGAGGCGAGUAGAAUUCCUGGUGUAGCGGUGAAAUGCGCAGAUAUCAGGAGGAACACCGGUGGCGAAGGCGGUUCUCUAGUACGGUACUGACGCUGAGACGCGAAAGCGUGGGGAGCGAACAGG
This 253-nucleotide ribosomal RNA is filed under the name uncultured bacterium. Its description in RNAcentral is "partial 16S ribosomal RNA". It matches the Rfam family "Bacterial small subunit ribosomal RNA", at positions 524 to 776 of the family's 1533-position model. The record is from RNAcentral.